AUUGAACGCUGGCGGCAUGCCUUACACAUGCAAGUCGAACGGCAGCACGGGUGCUUGCACCUGGUGGCGAGUGGCGAACGGGUGAGUAAUACAUCGGAACAUGUCCUGUAGUGGGGGAUAGCCCGGCGAAAGCCGGAUUAAUACCGCAUACGAUCUACGGAUGAAAGCGGUGGACCUUCGGGCCUCGCGCUAUAGGGUUGGCCGAUGGCUGAUUAGCUAGUUGGUGGGGUAAAGGCCUACCAAGGCGACGAUCAGUAGCUGGUCUGAGAGGACGACCAGCCACACUGGGACUGAGACACGGCCCAGACUCCUACGGGAGGCAGCAGUGGGGAAUUUUGGACAAUGGGCGAAAGCCUGAUCCAGCAAUGCCGCGUGUGUGAAGAAGGCCUUCGGGUUGUAAAGCACUUUUGUCCGGAAAGAAAUCCUUGGCCCUAAUACGGUCGGGGGAUGACGGUACCGGAAGAAUAAGCACCAGCUAACUACGUG
RNAcentral lists this ribosomal RNA (486 nucleotides) under uncultured bacterium. Its description in RNAcentral is "partial 16S ribosomal RNA". It matches the Rfam family "Bacterial small subunit ribosomal RNA", at positions 30 to 507 of the family's 1533-position model. The record is from RNAcentral.